This 505-nucleotide ribosomal RNA is filed under the name uncultured bacterium. RNAcentral describes it as "partial 16S ribosomal RNA". It matches the Rfam family "Bacterial small subunit ribosomal RNA", at positions 28 to 507 of the family's 1533-position model. The record is from RNAcentral.
GACGAACGCUGGCGGCGUGCCUAAUACAUGCAAGUGGGACGCAAGGAAACACACUGUGCUUGCACACCGUGUUUUCUUGAGUCGCGAACGGGUGAGUAACGCGUAGGUAACCUGCCUAUUAGCGGGGGAUAACUAUUGGGAACGAUAGCUAAUACCGCAUAAUAUUAAUUAUUGCAUGAUAAUUGAUUGAAAGAUGCAAGCGCAUCACUAGUAGAUGGACCUGCGUUGUAUUAGCUAGUUGGUAAGGUAAGAGCUUACCAAGGCGACGAUACAUAGCCGACCUGAGAGGGUGAUCGGCCACACUGGGACUGAGACACGGCCCAGACUCCUACGGGAGGCAGCAGUAGGGAAUCUUCGGCAAUAGACGAAAGUCUGACCGAGCAACGCCGCGUGAGUGAAGAAGGUUUUCGGAUCGUAAAGCUCUGUUGUAAGUCAAGAACGUGUGUGAGAGUGGAAAGUUCACACAGUGACGGUAGCUUACCAGAAAGGGACGGCUAACUACGUG